Molecule: long non-coding RNA, 242 nt
Organism: Pollicipes pollicipes
Lineage: Eukaryota; Metazoa; Arthropoda; Thecostraca; Pollicipedomorpha; Pollicipedidae
Exons: 3
Source: RefSeq, a predicted model, not a curated record
CUUUUGGAGUCUGUCAUCAGGCCAUCGCAUAUCAGCCAUAGUUUACAACCGGCAAAGGCAUUUAAGAACAAAGCUUCGGGUACCAGCAACUCAUCAUGUUCCUGACGCGCUCCGAGUAUGACCGGGGCGUGAACACCUUUUCGCCAGAAGGCCGGCUUUUCCAGGUGGAGUACGCCAUCGAGGCCAUCAAGCUGGGCUCGACGGCCAUCGGCAUCCAGACGUCCGAGGGCGUGGUGCUGGCC